UACGUAGGGUGCAAGCGCUAAUCGGAAUUACUGGGCGUAAAGCGUGCGCAGGCGGCUUUGCAAGACAGAUGUGAAAUCCCCGGGCUCAACCUGGGAACUUCAUUUGUGACUGCAUGGCUAGAGUACGGUAGAGGGGGAUGGAAUUCCGCGUGUAGCAGUGAAAUGCGUAGAUAUGCGGAGGAACACCGAUGGCGAAGGCAAUCCCCUGGACCUGUACUGACGCUCAUGCACGAAAGCGUGGGGAGCAAACAGG
RNAcentral lists this ribosomal RNA (253 nucleotides) under uncultured bacterium. RNAcentral describes it as "partial 16S ribosomal RNA". It matches the Rfam family "Bacterial small subunit ribosomal RNA", at positions 524 to 776 of the family's 1533-position model. The record is from RNAcentral.